AUAAAGAUGGCAGACGAAGUGCAUUAGGUU
Molecule: transfer RNA, 30 nt
Filed under: Bursa rhodostoma
Lineage: Eukaryota; Metazoa; Mollusca; Gastropoda; Littorinimorpha; Bursidae
Also listed under: 1 other name
Description: partial tRNA-Leu
Source: RNAcentral